RNAcentral lists this ribosomal RNA (503 nucleotides) under uncultured bacterium. Its description in RNAcentral is "bacterial SSU rRNA". It matches the Rfam family "Bacterial small subunit ribosomal RNA", at positions 28 to 524 of the family's 1533-position model. The record is from RNAcentral.
GACGAACGCUGGCGGCGCGCCUAACACAUGCAAGUCGAACGGAGCGUACUGUGUGAAGCCCUUCGGGGCGGAACUUUGUAUUGCUUAGUGGCGAACGGGUGAGUAACACGUGAGUAACCUACCUCCGAGCGGGGGACAACAUUUGGAAACAGAUGCUAAUACCGCAUAAGACCACAGUGUCGCAUGGCACAGUGGCCAAAGCAUUUAUGCACUUGGAGAUGGACUCGCGCCUGAUUAGCUAGAUGGUGAGGUAACGGCCCACCAUGGCGACGAUCAGUAGCCGGACUGAGAGGUUGAACGGCCACAUUGGGACUGAGACACGGCCCAGACUCCUACGGGAGGCAGCAGUGGGGGAUAUUGCACAAUGGGCGAAAGCCUGAUGCAGCGACGCCGCGUGAGGGAAGAAGGUUUUCGGAUUGUAAACCUCUGUCUUCGGGGACGAAACAAAUGACGGUACCCGAGGAGGAAGCCACGGCUAACUACGUGCCAGCCGCCGCGGUAAC